CUGCUUCCAAGCCUGGAAGGUCAUCGACUCGUAAGCCUACAAGCUGUCCCACGGCUGCCUUCAUUUCCACCCAGGUUAACUAAUUUGCAUGCAUAUUUUAGGUUACUCAAGAUCAACUGAGUGCACUAGGCAUCCGUAGUUGCAAAACGAUUCUGGAUUUUUGCUUGGUAAAUUUUCUGGAAUUACUAAUUUGUGCAUGUAUCGGUCAGCAAUCAAAAUCAUUUGUUGAUCGAGAAGUCCAAAAAUAGCAAGAAAGGAUGCUCAACGGGACUUGGUCACGCCGAGAUAUCAGCAGCAAUCGACACCGACAAAGCUCAAUUAUCUAUUGCAUAUUCAGAAGAAAGCAUCUCCUGUCGACAAUCAAGGCACUAUGACAGGUAGCUCAAGCCUAAGAUGCAAACAUCUCUAGGAAUGGAGUUGCUGACGGUAUGCAAAGAAUGAGACAAUGGUGAUGGUCAGGAUCGAUGUGUCAAGCAUCUGAGACAUAUCGACGUCAAGACAUGGAAGAGGGCUCUCUACCCUUAUAGAUAGGCCUUCUUACCAUGCUGCAUUACUAACCUGCACAAUUAAUGUGUAUCGAAAUUAACUUUGGAAGAACAUUAAGCAUGCAAACAUAGCUGUGGAGAAUCCUUGGAACAUCUUACCUGCAAUGUUAACUUAAACCUUCUGGAUCAGCAAAUGCUUCAUCCUUCUCUUCAAAUGUAAAUUCUACUGCCCAGAACAAACCAGUUAAAGAGUUA
Molecule: long non-coding RNA, 740 nt
Organism: Triticum urartu
Lineage: Eukaryota; Viridiplantae; Streptophyta; Magnoliopsida; Poales; Poaceae
Source: RefSeq, a predicted model, not a curated record